ACGACGAAGAAUAUGACAUUUCUUUUGGUCCAGAGAAAACUUUUAUAUGCUCAAAACUGGAUAAGGCAUUGAAGUUGCUCGAUUUCAAAGAUUGUAAAUUCUUCAGAGAAACGGAUAGUAAUAAUGACGAAGUUUCAUCUGAUGUGAGAAUGAAGUCUAGUCAAGUUCACGAAGGCACUUUUAAAUAAAUGAAGACAUUGACAAAACUUUGUAAAUAUGAUUGUAAACGUGAUUUUAGUAGAUUUGUAAUUUUAAGGGAUUUUCAAAGCAAAAUCCUUUACGUUUGUUUACUUCUGAAAAAUAUGAAAUAAAAUAUAGAAUGAUA
This is a long non-coding RNA of Xenia sp. Carnegie-2017, 325 nucleotides long. RefSeq lists it as uncharacterized. Lineage: Eukaryota; Metazoa; Cnidaria; Anthozoa; Malacalcyonacea; Xeniidae. The record is from RefSeq and is a predicted model, not a curated record. The transcript has 2 exons.